Monodelphis domestica (gray short-tailed opossum) is the source of this 1573-nucleotide long non-coding RNA. The record is from Ensembl. Lineage: Eukaryota; Metazoa; Chordata; Mammalia; Didelphimorphia; Didelphidae.
CUCAUUUUACAGAUGAGGAAACUGAGGCAAUUAGGGUCAAGUGACUUGUCCAGGAUUAUACAGCUGCUAUCUAAGGACAAAUCUGAACUCAGAUCUUCCUGAUAUCAGGACCUUCCUCUCUCCACUGCAUCACUUCAAUCCUAAUAUCCUGUAAUAAAUGCAUACGGCAGGGAGACGAGGAUUGUCACUGCAUUCAAGGACAGGAAUUGACUGGCAGCCUUGUUGCUAGGAAAACAGAAGAACCAUGGAGUACAUUUUCUUGCAAGAAUUCUGCAUAACUUGUCAAUGCAUAAGACACAGAUGCCCUGAGGCUUCCUUUUCUCAUUCUUUUCCAUUUCUUCCUCCAUGCUCUAGUUCUAAAUGAAUAUGUAUAUUUGGUGCCAGAGAACUGGAAUCACCUAUAUUCCCCCUAAGACAGGAAUGGUAAGGAAGGUGUCCCAUUGGUAUCUUUUGUUCCCAUGGGGCUUUUGAAAGAAAGUGUUGCAAGACAAGGGAAGUAUUCCAUCUUGCAGCUUGAGAAGAAUGAAGCCUAGAUGGGGGAUGGGAUAGGGAUGGUUCUUCACUUGAAUUUUGAGAAUGUCUCUUAACCACAGCACAAUUAAAGAGCUAGAAGAUGACCAAGAGCAAACUAUUUUAGUCAUCUUGGCCUCAGUUUCUUAGUCUGUAAAUUGAAGGGGUUAGAUUAAAUGAUGUCGAGGGUCACUUCUAGCUCUGUAUCUAUGAACCUAUAAUUCCAGGGUUCUUUUCUGGGCUACAAAAUAGAUAUUUUAGAGAACUGGGGGCUGGGGGAGGGUAGCCAAAGAAAAACGUGGUCUUUGGUACUUUCCCCAGGCACAUGGAAAGUCUGAGAGAGGCAGUGGCUGAGAGAGGAUGUCAUGAAUCACUGAGCACAUGUGUUCUACAUGGGGACCAUUUCCAUUUCUGAAUAAAUGAUGUGAUAAUCUGAGAGAAAAUGUGCAGGAUAGAUUUUCAUAAACCAAACCCUAAAAGCUCAGUGAGAUCCCAGAACUCUUUUACAGGAGGCCAGAGAGACUUUCAGCACUUUGAAUGUUUGCAUCUGAAAGCUGCUGAGGGGUGUGGGACAAGAACUUUUUGCCCAAGCACAGUGGGAAAGACAAAAGAAAGAAGAAGGAAUUCCUGCUCUCUAAGAGCUUGCUCUCUUAUGGAGGAAGCAAAAAACAGACCUUCAAAGCUGAAAAUGAGAACAGAAAGUACCAGAAGCCAGAAAGAUAAGAAAGCUGCCUCAGGGACCAAGCACAAGAUAAGUGGCCAGUUGGCCUAACAUCUUUGUUGUCAGCUGGGUACUCAGCCCAUUAAGAGACAUUCGAGUUCAGCUGGAGACAGGCAGCUUCAAAGACAACUGUUCUUACCUUCCAACUGGGAUUUGGUCAUGAGCUGCUGUAUCAGCACAGUCAAACCUAGUCACAGUCACACCUAGGCACAGCGCAUUUCUUCUCCUACCCCAAUUCAAUUCAACAAAUAGUUAUUAGUGCCCAUUACUGCAAGGCUCUGUGCUGGGUCCUGGGGAUAUAAAGUCAACAAAUAAAACUGUCCUUGCUUAAGAGAUAUGGCA